AACGAACGCUGGCGGCAUGCCUAACACAUGCAAGUCGAACGAGACCUUCGGGUCUAGUGGCGCACGGGUGCGUAACGCGUGGGAACCUGCCCUUAGGUUCGGAAUAACUCCCCGAAAGGGGUGCUAAUACCGGAUAAUGUCUUCGGACCAGAGAUUUAUCGCCUUUGGAUGGGCCCGCGUUGGAUUAGCUAGUUGGUAGGGUAAAAGCCUACCAAGGCGACGAUCCAUAGCUGGUCUGAGAGGAUGAUCAGCCACACUGGGACUGAGACACAGCCCAGACUCCUACGGGAGGCAGCAGUGGGGAAUAUUGGACAAUGGGCGAAAGCCUGAUCCAGCAAUGCCGGGUGAGUGAUGAAGGCCUUAGGGUUGUAAAGCUCUUUUACCCGGGAUGAUAAUGACAGUACCGGGAGAAUAAGCUCCGGCUAACUCCGUG
RNAcentral lists this ribosomal RNA (433 nucleotides) under uncultured bacterium. RNAcentral's name for it is "partial 16S ribosomal RNA". It matches the Rfam family "Bacterial small subunit ribosomal RNA", at positions 29 to 507 of the family's 1533-position model. The record is from RNAcentral.